GCCAUAGAAAAGUGAGAAGAGAGGCUGAUGCAUAAGGAGAGAAGAAGAAAGCUUAAGGUGCUAAGGAUUCAACUUGAUUUUCAAGGGGUUUUUGUUGAAAAUUACCUAAGAUUUUGGCUAUAGGAGGCAUUAGCAAUUAGAAUUCCAUAUGUUCAGACUGGCAAAAAUGGAACUAAGGUCGGGAACAGUUGUAUCUACAUAUGUUACCUCCUCAAUUUUGUACACACGUAUUAAGGGAACUUGUACUCCAUAUAGUCCACCAUGUAAAAGAUAUAUUUUUACUAUGUGUUGUCAUGCACAUAUAUUUGUAUAUGACUAUAUGUAAGAAGUUAAGAAAUUUUCUUAUACUGGUUUCCUCUGCUCAGUACAUAGUGUGACCUAUACCACUGUUAAUAACUUUGUAUAAUAUGUUAUGUAGCAUCUUUGCACUAUUUAUCCCUGGA
Jatropha curcas is the source of this 443-nucleotide long non-coding RNA. RefSeq lists it as uncharacterized. The record is from RefSeq and is a predicted model, not a curated record. Lineage: Eukaryota; Viridiplantae; Streptophyta; Magnoliopsida; Malpighiales; Euphorbiaceae.